RNAcentral lists this long non-coding RNA (269 nucleotides) under Glycine max (soybean). RNAcentral describes it as "long non-coding RNA (GMAX_LNC000921)". Lineage: Eukaryota; Viridiplantae; Streptophyta; Magnoliopsida; Fabales; Fabaceae. The record is from RNAcentral.
UGUGGGGGUUAACCUCCCCAGCACAGGAUUGUCUGAUUUCUCAAAGCAGAAGCGGAUUCGUUGAGGAUCUUUGGUCAGAGCCUGAUAUCAUAGCUAGCCUUCCUCCGUCGACUAGCGUAUUCCACUAGUUCAGGGGGAGGAAAGAGGAGAAUUCUUGAAAGAGAGUCAAAUGACCUAUCCUUGAAAGCAUGAAAUUCAGUCAGUCCUUUCAUUCCUUCCUGAGAAUAGAUCCCCAAUAGCUCGCAGAUGAGGAAUUCUUCCGCUACGAC